This 490-nucleotide ribosomal RNA is filed under the name uncultured bacterium. Its description in RNAcentral is "partial 16S ribosomal RNA". It matches the Rfam family "Bacterial small subunit ribosomal RNA", at positions 28 to 507 of the family's 1533-position model. The record is from RNAcentral.
GAUGAACGCUAGCGAUAGGCUUAACACAUGCAAGUCGAGGGGCAGCAUGGUCUUAGCUUGCUAAGGCUGAUGGCGACCGGCGCACGUGUGCGUAACGCGUAUUCAACUUGCCUCACAGAUGGGGAUAACCCGUCGAAAGACGGACUAAUACCGCGUACACGCUAUGUUGGGCAUCCAAGGUAGAGGAAAUGAAAUUCGCUGGGAGAUAGGCAUGCGUGCCAUUAGCUAGGUGGUGAGGUAACGGCUCACCAAGGCGACGAUGGGUAGGGGAACGGCGAGGGUGAGCCCCCACAGUGGGACUGAGCAACGGAGCAGACUGCUACGGGCGGCAGCAGUGAGGAAUAUUGGUGUAUGGGAGAGAGCAUGAAGGAGCCAAGUCGCGUGCAGGAUGACUGUCUUAUGGAUUGUAACCUUCUUGUAUAAGGGCAUAACCAGCGUCACGUGUGGGUGCCUGAAUGUGACGGAUGAAUAAGCAUCGGCUAACUACGUG